UAGAGAAAAGUUUCUAAUUACC
Molecule: microRNA, 22 nt
Filed under: Caenorhabditis elegans
Lineage: Eukaryota; Metazoa; Nematoda; Chromadorea; Rhabditida; Rhabditidae
Description: cel-miR-247-5p
Gene: cel-miR-247-5p
Source: miRBase by way of RNAcentral